Molecule: ribosomal RNA, 492 nt
Filed under: uncultured bacterium
Lineage: Bacteria
Description: partial 16S ribosomal RNA
Rfam family: Bacterial small subunit ribosomal RNA
Source: RNAcentral
AGUGAACGCUGGCGGUAGGCCUAAUACAUGCAAGUCGAACGGCAGCACAGUAAGAGCUUGCUCUUACGGGUGGCGAGUGGCGGACGGGUGAGGAAUACAUCGGAAUCUACUUUUUCGUGGGGGAUAACGUAGGGAAACUUACGCUAAUACCUAAUACGACCUACGGGUGAAAGCAGGAGAUCUUCGCACCUUGCGCGAUUGAAUGAGCCGAUGUCGGAUUAGCUAGUUGGCGGGGUAAAGGCCCACCAAGGCGACGAUCCGUAGCUGGUCUGAGAGGAUGAUCAGCCACACUGGAACUGAGACACGGUCCAGACUCCUACGGGAGGCAGCAGUGGGGAAUAUUGGACAAUGGGCGCAAGCCUGAUCCAGCCAUACCGCGUGAGUGAAGAAGGCCUUCGGGUUGUAAAGCCCUUUUGUUAGGAAAGAAAAGCAGCAGGUUAAUACCCCGCUGUUCUGACGGUACCCAAAGAAUAAGCACCGGCUAACUUCGUG